This 750-nucleotide ribosomal RNA is filed under the name uncultured Staphylococcus sp. Its description in RNAcentral is "bacterial SSU rRNA". It matches the Rfam family "Bacterial small subunit ribosomal RNA", at positions 40 to 772 of the family's 1533-position model. The record is from RNAcentral. Lineage: Bacteria; Bacillati; Bacillota; Bacilli; Caryophanales; Staphylococcaceae.
CGGCGUGCCUAAUACAUGCAAGUCGAGCGAACAGACGAGGAGCUUGCUCCUCUGACGUUAGCGGCGGACGGGUGAGUAACACGUGGAUAACCUACCUAUAAGACUGGGAUAACUUCGGGAAACCGGAGCUAAUACCGGAUAAUAUAUUGAACCGCAUGGUUCAAUAGUGAAAGACGGUUUUGCUGUCACUUAUAGAUGGAUCCGCGCCGCAUUAGCUAGUUGGUAAGGUAACGGCUUACCAAGGCAACGAUGCGUAGCCGACCUGAGAGGGUGAUCGGCCACACUGGAACUGAGACACGGUCCAGACUCCUACGGGAGGCAGCAGUAGGGAAUCUUCCGCAAUGGGCGAAAGCCUGACGGAGCAACGCCGCGUGAGUGAUGAAGGUCUUCGGAUCGUAAGACUCUGUUAUUAGGGAAGAACAAAUGUGUAAGUAACUAUGCACGUCUUGACGGUACCUAAUCAGAAAGCCACGGCUAACUACGUGCCAGCAGCCGCGGUAAUACGUAGGUGGCAAGCGUUAUCCGGAAUUAUUGGGCGUAAAGCGCGCGUAGGCGGUUUUUUAAGUCUGAUGUGAAAGCCCACGGCUCAACCGUGGAGGGUCAUUGGAAACUGGAAAACUUGAGUGCAGAAGAGGAAAGUGGAAUUCCAUGUGUAGCGGUGAAAUGCGCAGAGAUAUGGAGGAACACCAGUGGCGAAGGCGACUUUCUGGUCUGUAACUGACGCUGAUGUGCGAAAGCGUGGGGAUCAAA